RNAcentral lists this ribosomal RNA (497 nucleotides) under uncultured Fusibacter sp. RNAcentral's name for it is "bacterial SSU rRNA". It matches the Rfam family "Bacterial small subunit ribosomal RNA", at positions 888 to 1382 of the family's 1533-position model. The record is from RNAcentral. Lineage: Bacteria; Bacillati; Bacillota; Clostridia; Eubacteriales; Fusibacteraceae.
CCCGCUCAGAAACUUAAAGGAAUUGACGGGGACCCGCACAAGCAGCGGAGCAUGUGGUUUAAUUCGAAGCAACGCGAAGAACCUUACCAGAUCUUGACAUCCAAUUGACCAUCCUUUAAUCGAGAUUUUGCCUUCGGGUACAAUUGAGACAGGUGGUGCAUGGUUGUCGUCAGCUCGUGUCGUGAGAUGUUGGGUUAAGUCCCGCAACGAGCGCAACCCUUGUGUUUAGUUGCAAACAGGUCAAGCUGUGCACUCUAGACAGACUGCCGUGGACAACACGGAGGAAGGUGGGGAUGACGUCAAAUCAUCAUGCCCCUUAUGAUCUGGGCUACACACGUGCUACAAUGGCCGGUACAACGGGCAGCGAAGGAGCGAUCCGGAGCGAAUCCUAAAAAGCCGGUCCCAGUUCGGAUUGCAGGCUGAAACUCGCCUACAUGAAGUUGGAGUUGCUAGUAAUCGCGAAUCAGAAUGUCGCGGUGAAUGCGUUCCCGGGUCUU